GCGGAGGGAUCAUUACCGAGUUUACAACUCCCAAACCCAAUGUGAACGUUACCAAACUGUUGCCUCGGCGGGAUCUCUGCCCCGGGUGCGUCGCAGCCCCGGACCAAGGCGCCCGCCGGAGGACCAACCAAAACUCUUAUUGUAUACCCCCUCGCGGGUUUUUUUAUAAUCUGAGCCUUCUCGGCGCCUCUCGUAGGCGUUUCGAAAAUGAAUCAAAACUUUCAACAACGGAUCUCUUGGUUCUGGCAUCGAUGAAGAACGCAGCGAAAUGCGAUAAGUAAUGUGAAUUGCAGAAUUCAGUGAAUCAUCGAAUCUUUGAACGCACAUUGCGCCCGCCAGUAUUCUGGCGGGCAUGCCUGUCCGAGCGUCAUUUCAACCCUCGAACCCCUCCGGGGGGUCGGCGUUGGGGAUCGGCCCUCCCUUAGCGGGUGGCCGUCUCCGAAAUACAGUGGCGGUCUCGCCGCAGCCUCUCCUGCGCAGUAGUUUGCACACUCGCAUCGGGAGCGCGGCGCGUCCACAGCCGUUAAACACCCAACUUCUGAAAUGUUGACCUCGGAUCAGGUA
Molecule: unclassified non-coding RNA, 564 nt
Filed under: Trichoderma harzianum
Lineage: Eukaryota; Fungi; Ascomycota; Sordariomycetes; Hypocreales; Hypocreaceae
Description: partial contains 18S rRNA, ITS1, 5.8S rRNA, ITS2 and 28S RNA
Rfam family: 5.8S ribosomal RNA (bases 217-370)
Source: RNAcentral